UUAUUUUAGCGGCGGACGGGUGAGUAACGUGUGGGCAACCUACCUUUUACUGUGGAAUAAUCGUUGGAAACGACGACUAAUACCGCAUACGGGUUCUUGGAAGGCAUCUUCUAAGAAAGAAAGGAUUUAUUCGGUAAAAGAUGGGCCCGCAUCUGAUUAGCUAGUUGGUGAGAUAAUAGCCCACCAAGGCAACGAUCAGUAGCCGACCUGAGAGGGUGACCGGCCACAUUGGGACUGAGACACGGCCCAAACUCCUACGGAAGGCAGCAG
This 270-nucleotide ribosomal RNA is filed under the name uncultured bacterium. Its description in RNAcentral is "partial 16S ribosomal RNA". It matches the Rfam family "Bacterial small subunit ribosomal RNA", at positions 87 to 354 of the family's 1533-position model. The record is from RNAcentral.